GUACACUCCUACGGGAGGCAGCAGUGGGGAAUAUUGGACAAUGGGCGCAAGCCUGAUCCAGCCAUGCCGCGUGAGUGAUGAAGGCCCUAGGGUUGUAAAGCUCUUUCACCGGUGAAGAUAAUGACGGUAACCGGAGAAGAAGCCCCGGCUAACUUCGUGCCAGCAGCCGCGGUAAUACGAAGGGGGCUAGCGUUGUUCGGAUUUACUGGGCGUAAAGCGCACGUAGGCGGACUAUUAAGUCAGGGGUGAAAUCCCGGGGCUCAACCCCGGAACUGCCUUUGAUACUGGUAGUCUUGAGUUCGAGAGAGGUGAGUGGAAUUCCGAGUGUAGAGGUGAAAUUCGUAGAUAUUCGGAGGAACACCAGUGGCGAAGGCGGCUCACUGGCUCGAUACUGACGCUGAGGUGCGAAAGCGUGGGGAGCAAACAGGAUUAGAAACCCCUGUAGUCCCAUG
This 452-nucleotide ribosomal RNA is filed under the name uncultured organism. Its description in RNAcentral is "partial 16S ribosomal RNA". It matches the Rfam family "Bacterial small subunit ribosomal RNA", at positions 331 to 799 of the family's 1533-position model. The record is from RNAcentral.